CCUACGGGGGGCAGCAGUGGGGAAUAUUGGACAAUGGGGGGAACCCUGAUCCAGCCAUGCCGCGUGUGUGAAGAAGGCCCUCGGGUUGUAAAGCACUUUCAGUGAGGAAGAACGCCUGGUGGUUAAUACCCAUCAGGAAAGACAUCACUCACAGAAGAAGCACCGGCUAACUCCGUGCCAGCAGCCGCGGUAAUACGGAGGGUGCGAGCGUUAAUCGGAAUUACUGGGCGUAAAGCGCGCGUAGGUGGCUUGAUAAGCCGGUUGUGAAAGCCCCGGGCUCAACCUGGAACGGCAUCCGGAACUGUCAAGCUAGAGUGCAGGAGAGGAAGGUAGAAUUCCCGGUGUAGCGGUGAAAUGCGUAGAGAUCGGGAGGAAUACCAGUGGCGAAGGCGGCCUUCUGGACUGACACUGACACUGAGGUGCGAAAGCGUGGGUAGCAAACAGGAUUAGAUACCCCUGUAGUC
RNAcentral lists this ribosomal RNA (464 nucleotides) under Vreelandella stevensii. RNAcentral describes it as "partial 16S ribosomal RNA". It matches the Rfam family "Bacterial small subunit ribosomal RNA", at positions 338 to 795 of the family's 1533-position model. Lineage: Bacteria; Pseudomonadati; Pseudomonadota; Gammaproteobacteria; Oceanospirillales; Halomonadaceae. The record is from RNAcentral.